Molecule: long non-coding RNA, 511 nt
Filed under: Homo sapiens (human)
Lineage: Eukaryota; Metazoa; Chordata; Mammalia; Primates; Hominidae
Description: HSALNT0384795
Source: RNAcentral
AAAAAAACCCCUACGAUUAAAAACCUCAGGUCCCUCAGGCAAUCAUACCAGAUAUUGAAACAAAGCAAUAACAUAAGGACUGCAGUAUUCAUUUUAUUUUUAUAUUAUUUAUUUAUUCUUCCUUAGUUUCUUGAGAUUAUCAUCCGCUGAGGGUGGAAGGGGAGUGAGCAGACACACUCAGGAGGUGUCUUGAGAUUAUCAUCCGCUGAGGGUGGAGCUGAGGGUGGAAGGGGAGUGAGCAGACACUCGGGAGGUGUCUUGAGAUUAUCAUCCGCUGAGGGUGGAGCUGAGGGUGGAAGGGGAGUGAGCAGACACUCGGGAGGUGUCUUGAGAUUAUCAUCCGCUGAGGGUAGAGCUGAGGGUGGAAGGGGAGUGAGCAGACACUCGGGAGGUGUCUUGAGGCUCAGGGAGUUAUCAAUUAUAGAAUGUUGUUGAGUUGGAGGAGGUGGCUGGUGGCCCAUCCUGUUUUUUAAAGUUUCAGCUGUGAGGUAGGGCCAGUAGGGCAAUCCUG